GUUUCUUCGCAGGCGCGGCUGGAGGCCCUUUUUCUCUUCAACGCAACUUCUUCUCUGUAGAUCAUCAUCACUCACGCGUUCAUGCGUCAAACCGUGAAUCUAAGCCAUUAUUCCCAUCAUCCCCUCCCUCCGUUUUGUUAUUGUCGAAGCGUGUCAUCUCAGGAUUGUUUCUCAUUCUCAUGCACUGCCGCUGCUCUGAAGACCUAAUUUUGAGAAGCUUAAAGAUGGAAUUCCGUCAAUUUCUCGACAAUCAAUCAGGUUUUUGGGUGGCGCAGGUGUGAGAUUGAUGCCACUUUGAGGAGGUGGGCAACUCAAACAUGAAGAUAACUUUUCUUAUAAGAUUUACUUGGGAUUAUGAGCUUAUACCACCAAAUAUGGAUGAAGAUCUUAUGAGAAACCAUGAGCCUCUUCAAUUUACUAUUAUGACGAAGGAGGCUAGAGGCUGAUAGGUUCUUCACAAGCAACUUCAAUGUGCAUGCAUAAACCAAUAAGUCUGGUCAAGUUGUUAGAACCAUGUUCACUGAUUAGCUUUAUUAUGUUGUGUUUAUGUAAUUCUUGCUCUGGCCUUAGCAUUAGAGUAAUAUACAUGCUCUCAUAGUAUCAUUGUCGUAAUUAUUCUCUUUCAAGAGUAUCAUUCUAUCUAUCAAUAUAUAAAAUUAAUGUUUUGAUUUAAGUAUCAUUAUAUUAUGUGGCUAGAAGAAUAAUACUCUUUUGUAAAUCGAUACAUUGGACUCUCAUUGACCCUUCAUGCAGGAACAUGGCUAUCUAUGCUAUCAAGAAGAAGAAACAACAUGAAAAGAGGGUAGAUAAUUUGAACUAGGGAGCAGUGCUGAUUGGUUCCAUAAUUUGAAAUCAUCAUGCUGCUAGAGGGUAGAUAAUCUAAGAUAUUUGUUCAAUUUAAAAAUGAAUGUUGGGAGAGCGAAGUUAGUGAUAACACUUUAAGUUCUAAUGUAUUUGUGAUGUAUCUCAGUGAAUAAGUGAUAAUUGGUGAUUUUGUUUCCUUCUCUGUUAAUGUGAAAUCUGGGUUUGAAAUU
Lotus japonicus is the source of this 1034-nucleotide long non-coding RNA. RefSeq lists it as uncharacterized. NCBI's taxonomy places the organism in Eukaryota, Viridiplantae, Streptophyta, Magnoliopsida, Fabales, Fabaceae. The transcript has 4 exons. The record is from RefSeq and is a predicted model, not a curated record.